RNAcentral lists this small nuclear RNA (285 nucleotides) under Nannospalax galili (Upper Galilee mountains blind mole rat). Its description in RNAcentral is "7SK RNA (ENSNGAG00000003795.1)". It matches the Rfam family "7SK RNA". From Rfam's summary of the family: 7SK was discovered as an abundant small nuclear RNA in the mid-70s but a possible function has only recently been suggested. Two independent studies have found that 7SK RNA binds the CDK9/cyclin T complex (known as elongation factor P-TEFb). Lineage: Eukaryota; Metazoa; Chordata; Mammalia; Rodentia; Spalacidae. The record is from Rfam by way of RNAcentral.
GGAUAUGAGGGUAAUCUGGCUGUGACAUCUGUCACCCCAUUGAUCACCAGGGUUGAUUCGGCUGAUCUGGCUGGCUAGGUGGAUAUUCCCUUCCUCUCUCAACACUCCACAUGCGUCCCUCCCAAAGCUGCGGGCUCAGUCGAGGAGGACGACCUUUGCCAAUAGAAGAAGGGUAUAGGAGUACCUGCACUGCCCUGCUGAACCUCCAAACAAGCUCUCGAGGUCCAAAUGUAUUUUUCUAAUGUAGUUUUGUAAGCUGCUUUUAGAUCUUCAGGUAACAGGUGA